UUCUUUCUGUUCAAGUCAAUUUUCAGAUUUUGCCAACACCACAGAGAAGUCAAGUAUUACUAUGCAAAGUCCUUAACCUUUUUAUGUACCCAAUUAUAUAGUUAUUGGCCAAAUAUAUCUAUUGAUAUGUAUUAUAUCUAAAUGAUCUUAUGGUCAGAAGAGUCUUCAGAAGAAAAAUCCUCUUAAUAUUAAACUUCAUGAUAUAAUUUUGUUAAAAAUAGAAUUAAUCAAGUUGGA
RNAcentral lists this long non-coding RNA (237 nucleotides) under Bos taurus (domestic cattle). RNAcentral describes it as "long non-coding RNA NONBTAT010907". Lineage: Eukaryota; Metazoa; Chordata; Mammalia; Artiodactyla; Bovidae. The record is from RNAcentral.